Molecule: ribosomal RNA, 594 nt
Filed under: uncultured Alphaproteobacteria bacterium
Lineage: Bacteria; Pseudomonadati; Pseudomonadota; Alphaproteobacteria
Description: bacterial SSU rRNA
Rfam family: Bacterial small subunit ribosomal RNA
Source: RNAcentral
GUUUGAUCCUGGCUCAGAACGAACGCUGGCGGCAGGCCUAACACAUGCAAGUCGAGCGCGCCCUUCGGGGUGAGCGGCGGACGGGUUAGUAACGCGUGGGAACGUACCCAGAUCUACGGAAUAGCCUUUGGAAACGAAGAGUAAUACCGUAUACGCCCUUCGGGGGAAAGAUUUAUCGGAUUUGGAUCGGCCCGCGUUAGAUUAGAUAGUUGGUGGGGUAACGGCCUACCAAGUCUACGAUCUAUAGCUGGUUUUAGAGGAUGAUCAGCAACACUGGGACUGAGACACGGCCCAGACUCCUACAGGAGGCAGCAGUGGGGAAUCUUGGACAAUGGGCGCAAGCCUGAUCCAGCCAUGCCGCGUGAGUGAUGAAGGCCCUAGGGUCGUAAAGCUCUUUCGCCAGGGAUGAUAAUGACAGUACCUGGUAAAGAAACCCCGGCUAACUCCGUGCCAGCAGCCGCGGUAAUACGGAGGGGGUUAGCGUUGUUCGGAAUUACUGGGCGUAAAGCGCGCGUAGGCGGGUUGUUAAGUUAGAGGUGAAAUCCCGGGGCUCAACCCCGGAACUGCCUUUAAUACUGGCAACCUAGAGUUCGA